This 374-nucleotide long non-coding RNA is filed under the name Elaeis guineensis (African oil palm). RNAcentral describes it as "long non-coding RNA (EGUI_LNC066292)". The record is from RNAcentral. Lineage: Eukaryota; Viridiplantae; Streptophyta; Magnoliopsida; Arecales; Arecaceae.
AAUGUCAGUCUAACAAUGAACUACUCUCUUCGCUUGAAGCGACAAAAUCACUUCAAGCUCAGGAGUCGAGGGUAAGCAUUGCAGAGGUUAUCCACCAUCUGACUCGACAUCCCCUUAAUGAAUUAUAAACAAGCACUCGUCAAUAAACCAGCACUGGAUACCAAAAGAGGACCCAAGAAACCAAGGCAAAGCAGCUUUACAUCAUCAGCUUCUAUCCGACUUCCUAAUCAGACACUCACUGACCCCAAGAUCGAGAUCCUAUCGAUGAUGAUGAACGAAGCCAGACAACCUAUGUAGGUGUUAAUGCAGGACAAAAUCUCAACUCAGCACCAACCCCGAGACAUCAGAUCAUUAAACUACAUGGACAUUCCCUG